UGGAGUUGCUGAAUUAGAGAUCGGCACUCUAUCUUUUUAUCUAUAAUUUUGGAGUUUAAAAUGUCUCUAAGCGUUGAAGCUAAAGCUAAGAUCGUUUCUGAGUUUGGUCGUGGUACU
Regulatory RNA element from Buttiauxella agrestis ATCC 33320, 117 nucleotides. It matches the Rfam family "Ribosomal S15 leader". From Rfam's summary of the family: The E. coli Ribosomal S15 gene 5' UTR can form two alternative structures. Lineage: Bacteria; Pseudomonadati; Pseudomonadota; Gammaproteobacteria; Enterobacterales; Enterobacteriaceae. The record is from Rfam.